GAUGAACGCUGGCGGCGUGCCUAAUACAUGCAAGUCGAGCGAGAAGCUUGGAAAUGACGCUUCGGUUGAUUUUCCAAGCGGACAGCGGCGGACGGGUGAGUAACGCGUGGGCAACCUGCCCCUGACAGAGGGAUAGCCAUUGGAAACGAUGAUUAAAACCUCAUGACACCGUAGUAGCACAUGCUACAUCGGUCAAAGAUUUAUCGGUCAGGGAUGGGCCUGCGUCUGAUUAACUGGUUGGUGAGGUAACGGCUCACCAAGGUGACGAUCAGUAGCCGACCUGAGAGGGUGAUCGGCCACAUUGGAACUGAGACACGGUCCAAACUUCUACGGAAGGCAGCAGUAGGGAAUCUUGCACAAUGGGCGAAAGCCUGAUGCAGCAACGCCGCGUGAAGGAUGAAGGCCUUCGGGUUGUAAACUUCUGUUCUAAGGGAAGAAAGAAAUGACGGUACCUUAGGAGCAAGCCCCGGCUAACUACGUGCCAGCAGCCGCGGUAAUACGUAGGGGGCAAGCGUUAUCCGGAAUUAUUGGGCGUAAAGAGUGCGUAGGUGGUUACCUAAGCGCAAGGUUUAAAUUAGAGGCUCAACCUCUACAUGCCUUGCGAACUGGGCUACUUGAGUGCAGGAGGGGAAAGCGGAAUUCCUAGUGUAGCGGUGAAAUGCGUAGAUAUUAGGAGGAACACCGGCGGCGAAGGCGGCUUUCUGGACUGUAACUGACACUGAGGCACGAAAGCGUGGGUAGCAAACAGG
This 749-nucleotide ribosomal RNA is filed under the name uncultured Mogibacterium sp. RNAcentral's name for it is "bacterial SSU rRNA". It matches the Rfam family "Bacterial small subunit ribosomal RNA", at positions 28 to 776 of the family's 1533-position model. Lineage: Bacteria; Bacillati; Bacillota; Clostridia; Peptostreptococcales; Anaerovoracaceae. The record is from RNAcentral.